UUGUGUGGGUCAUGCUCUGAGUUCGUUUCCUGUGUUCUGUAAUGGGUUAAUGAUAUCCACAUGUUUUGUAGUAUUUAAGUCAUGCAUUGCUGGUGUGUUAAGCCGUAAACACAGUCGUAGCAGGGAAGCUUCGCCGAGUUACUAAGUUAAAGCGAGACGUUUUGGAUGAAGUGGAGUUUUGGUUUUCUCUGAUGUUUGUCUCCUGUGAAGAUUGAUAGGGCCCAUAUUCCAAGGCGUGGAGGAAGACAUCUACAGCCUCGUGAGAUGCUACCUAAUAAGGUGAAGGAGGAGGUUUUCCACUAGCUGUAAUGCAACUGAAUAAUGGGGAUUCCCAUGAAGAGGUCAUCAGGCCAGGAGGGAAAAAAAGUGUUUUCUAUCGAACACAGAGCCCUACGUCAGCCCUGGACUCAUCAACAAACCAGCCAAUCACAAGUCUGUGUUGCUUCAUACAUAUCCAGAAUUCUACUCAGAUACAGUAUUAUACACCUUUACAACAAAGGCUCAUGACCUCCAAGGAUGCAAUAUUUCUUUUCUGAGAGCCAGCAGAUUCCCUGACAUUUCACCAGCAUUAUCUCCAGGUCACGGCUUUAUCAGAGUUUCUCAUCUGUUUAAUCCAGAGACUGAUUUAUUGACGGAGUAAUUCUGCUGGUCCAGGUGUUGGGCAGAUGUCAAGACAAGCAGGCAGGCAGGCAAAGCAUUGCAUUCCUAUGGGAAAAGGCAUUAAUGUCAACUCGUGAUUUUCUCUGCCUGUCAAUCUACCUGCCUCAGGAUGGCGAAUGGAGAUUGCCCCCACGGGCAUGCAAGGAACCAUAACCGGGAAAUGGUAAUGUGACAAGAAGACGCUGUUUGUUUGCGCUGCUGUCAUUCCCGAGCCCACCUGUGCCACUCAUGCUUAUCAGAUCCACACUUCCUAUCAAACCUAACAGUGAUGGAGACCGGAUGGAGACAAAGUGAGAUGACUUCUGUUAAAGGGGGGAGGGAAGGUGCAAAGGAGAACAAGAAACUGAGAAAAAAAGAAAUAGGUUGUGGUAACUAUUGACCUCUAAGGCAUGACUGUAGUGCAAUUAUUAUUUCAGUGCUGGUAAAUUUCUAUGCUGUUCCAGA
Molecule: long non-coding RNA, 1104 nt
Organism: Betta splendens (Siamese fighting fish)
Lineage: Eukaryota; Metazoa; Chordata; Actinopteri; Anabantiformes; Osphronemidae
Exons: 5
Source: RefSeq, a predicted model, not a curated record